This 274-nucleotide ribosomal RNA is filed under the name uncultured bacterium. Its description in RNAcentral is "partial 16S ribosomal RNA". It matches the Rfam family "Bacterial small subunit ribosomal RNA", at positions 523 to 796 of the family's 1533-position model. The record is from RNAcentral.
AUACGGAGGGGGCUAGCGUUGUUCGGAAUUACUGGGCGUAAAGCGCACGUAGGCGGAUUAAAAAGUUAGAGGUGAAAUCCCAGGGCUUAACCCUGGAACUGCCUUUAAAACUAGUAGUCUAGAGUUCGAGAGAGGUGAGUGGAAUUCCAAGUGUAGAGGUGAAAUUCGUAGAUAUUUGGAGGAACACCAGUGGCGAAGGCGGCUCACUGGCUCGAUACUGACGCUGAGGUGCGAAAGCGUGGGGAGCAAACAGAAUUAGAAACCCUAGUAGUCC